GACGAACGCUGGCGGCGUGCCUAAUACAUGCAAGUCGAGCGGACUUGACGGAGCUUGCUCUGUUCAAGUUAGCGGCGGACGGGUGAGUAACACGUGGGUAACCUGCCUGUAAGACUGGGAUAACUCCGGGAAACCGGGGCUAAUACCGGAUAUUCUUUUUCUUCGCAUGAAGAAGAAUGGAAAGGCGGCUUUUAGCUGUCACUUACAGAUGGACCCGCGGCGCAUUAGCUAGUUGGUGAGGUAACGGCUCACCAAGGCGACGAUGCGUAGCCGACCUGAGAGGGUGAUCGGCCACACUGGGACUGAGACACGGCCCAGACUCCUACGGGAGGCAGCAGUAGGGAAUCUUCCGCAAUGGACGAAAGUCUGACGGAGCAACGCCGCGUGAGUGAAGAAGGUUUUCGGAUCGUAAAGCUCUGUUGUCAGGGAAGAACAAGUACCAAAGUAACUGUUGGUACCUUGACGGUACCUGACCAGAAAGCCACGGCUAACUACGUGCCAGCAGCCGCGGUAAUACGUAGGUGGCAAGCGUUGUCCGGAAUUAUUGGGCGUAAAGCGCGCGCAGGCGGCUUCUUAAGUCUGAUGUGAAAGCCCACGGCUCAACCGUGGAGGGUCAUUGGAAACUGGGAGGCUUGAGUGCAGAAGAGGAGAGCGGAAUUCCACGUGUAGCGGUGAAAUGCGUAGAGAUGUGGAGGAACACCAGUGGCGAAGGCGGCUCUCUGGUCUGUAACUGACGCUGAGGCGCGAAAGCGUGGGGAGCGAACAGGAUUAGAUACCCUGGUAGUCCACGCCGUAAACGAUGAGUGCUAAGUGUUGGAGGGUUUCCGCCCUUCAGUGCUGCAGCUAACGCAUAAGCACUCCGC
RNAcentral lists this ribosomal RNA (863 nucleotides) under Pseudobacillus badius. Its description in RNAcentral is "bacterial SSU rRNA". It matches the Rfam family "Bacterial small subunit ribosomal RNA", at positions 28 to 872 of the family's 1533-position model. Lineage: Bacteria; Bacillati; Bacillota; Bacilli; Caryophanales; Bacillaceae. The record is from RNAcentral.